This 72-nucleotide transfer RNA is filed under the name Pangasianodon hypophthalmus (striped catfish). RNAcentral's name for it is "tRNA-Glu". Lineage: Eukaryota; Metazoa; Chordata; Actinopteri; Siluriformes; Pangasiidae. The record is from RNAcentral.
ACCCUGGAGGACUAGUGGUUAGGCCUUGGUGCUCUCACUGCCACAGCCAGGGUUUGAUUCCCAGCCGGGGAA